Long non-coding RNA from Quercus robur (English oak), 511 nucleotides. RefSeq lists it as uncharacterized. The record is from RefSeq and is a predicted model, not a curated record. Lineage: Eukaryota; Viridiplantae; Streptophyta; Magnoliopsida; Fagales; Fagaceae. The transcript is spliced from 2 exons.
AUUAUUGUGGUGCUUCCAUGUAGUGAGGGUCCAGAUAGAUUGCAAUGGUGUUUGAGAGGCAUUUGGGUGUUUGAUGUUCUGUCUUCUAUGGUUUGUUGUGAGGCGGCCCAAGGGAGAUUUCUUUUCCCUGAAUAGAAAGUUGAUGGACCCCAAUGGGAUACUGAACCCAUAUAAAGUUCUUCCAUACUCAAUUGUUUCUUACAGCUGAGAUAAGCUGAAAUUCAACAUUCCCUGAGGUAGCAAGCAUGAUGGUUUUGUCUCAAGUUGUAGCAAGUGGACAUAACUGAGCUACAGCUCAGUGGGAUGCAAUUCUAUUAAACUAUGAAGUUAGAGAUGUUCAAUACUAUCUGGCAUCUGAUUGGAGAAGGAGCAAGUUCUAUUAAAUAGAAAGCACUAGUAAUUGUAUGGCACUUGAAGAUAGUAAUCUCCAUGCCAUGGCAAUGAGUUGUGUAGUUGAUGAGUACCUAAACAGUACUGAAGAUUAAAUGAAAUAAAAGCAUAUUCCUAUGAA